Molecule: ribosomal RNA, 461 nt
Filed under: uncultured bacterium
Lineage: Bacteria
Description: bacterial SSU rRNA
Rfam family: Bacterial small subunit ribosomal RNA
Source: RNAcentral
GAUGAGCGCUGGCGGCGUGCCUAAUACAUGCAAGUCGAGCGGUAACAGGUCUAGUUUACUAGAUGCUGACGAGCGGCGGACGGCUGAGUAACACGUAGGAACGUACCCCAAAGUGAGGGAUAACUGCUCGAAAGAGUAGCUAAUACCGCAUGUGAUCUAAGGAUUAAAGCUUUAUGCGCUUUGGGAACGGCCUGCGUUCGAUUAGCUAGUUGGUGAGGUAAUAGCUCACCAAGGCGAUGAUCGAUAGCUGGUCUGAGAGGAUGAUCAGCCAGACUGGGACUGAGACACGGCCCAGACUCCUACGGGAGGCAGCAGUAGGGAAUUUUCCACAAUGGACGAAAGUCUGAUGGAGCAACGCCGCGUGCAGGAUGAAUGUCUUCGGAUUGUAAACUGUCUUUUGUUGGUGAAGAAUAUGACGGUAACCAACGAAUAAGGGUCUGCUAACUACGUGCCAGCCGCCG